RNAcentral lists this ribosomal RNA (492 nucleotides) under uncultured bacterium. Its description in RNAcentral is "partial 16S ribosomal RNA". It matches the Rfam family "Bacterial small subunit ribosomal RNA", at positions 29 to 507 of the family's 1533-position model. The record is from RNAcentral.
AGUGAACGCUGGCGGUAGGCCUAACACAUGCAAGUCGAACGGCAGCACAGUAAGAGCUUGCUCUUACGGGUGGCGAGUGGCGGACGGGUGAGGAAUACAUCGGAAUCUACUUUUUCGUGGGGGAUAACGUAGGGAAACUUACGCUAAUACCCCAUACGACCUACGGGUGAAAGCAGGGGAUCUUCGGACCUUGCGCGAUUGAAUGAGCCGAUGUCGGAUUAGCUAGUUGGCGGGGUAAAGGCCCACCAAGGCGACGAUCCGUAGCUGGUCUGAGAGGAUGAUCAGCCACACUGGAACUGAGACACGGUCCAGACUCCUACGGGAGGCAGCAGUGGGGAAUAUUGGACAAUGGGCGCAAGCCUGAUCCAGCCAUACCGCGUGGGUGGAGAAGGCCUUCGGGUUGUAAAGCCCUUUUGUUGGGAAAGAAAAGCAGCAGGUUAAUACCCCGCUGUUCUGACGGUACCCAAAGAAUAAGCACCGGCUAACUUCGUG